This 1306-nucleotide long non-coding RNA is filed under the name Homo sapiens (human). RNAcentral's name for it is "HSALNT0225114". Lineage: Eukaryota; Metazoa; Chordata; Mammalia; Primates; Hominidae. The record is from RNAcentral.
UAUUCCCCAAUGCCUUCUAUUUAUUUUUUUGGGAAUUUUCUGUGAAUACUUGACCAACAUUUAUUGAGCACCUACUGUAUAGGCCCUAUCACAAGUAACAGUCACUUACACUUGCAUUAUCUCAUAUAAUGUUCACUGUCAAUGUAGAUGGGAAAUUGAUGCCCACACUGACAACGGUCCUGGAUCACAUAGCAGUAGGAAGACAGGGCCAGAAUUUGAACCUGUAUUUUCUGAAUCCUGUGAUCUUUCCACGAUGGUUGGUUGGUAUGGCUAUUUGAUACAUAUAUUGGUCAUAAAAUAUAUGUUCUUAUAUCCUUCUCAAAAGUUUAAGAUUGAUGGCUUGUGCAACCAGUCAUGUUACUACACAGUGAUACUUGAGAGUAUUGUAAAAGGCAUCAAAUAUCUAACCCUCCCAACAGAUGUCUCUCUGGCUUAUGCAGAACCUGUAUGACAAGGGACCAGAGAUAUGUGUUGGGUGAUUAUCCUCUGAACUCAGUCUCUACAAAUUUCAGUGUUUAGAAAUACAUGAGAAAUAUAUGUCUUAAGCUGGGCUAAUGGCACAUACAUGAAGUCAUAGUCUAAAUGUGACACAUAAAGUUUGCUGUGUUUUGAAAAGUAUGUUGACCGUCUUUUUGCAUACUCUCUGACACUUGGGAGUUCAACAGCACACCAACCCCUUAUAUUUUGAAGUCUCCUAUCAGAAAAAAAAGAAUUUUUAAUUGGCAUCCCAUGUUCAUAGAACAUGAGUUAACAAAGUAAGAUUUCAGAAAGAAAAGAAUAGGAGAGACUAAAUGUUAUCAUUUAGAGCAAAGAGAAAAGCUCUUUUUCUUUAGGAAUGUGUGGGUGGAGGAGAGGAUUGUUAGCUAUCUGCUCUGUGAUCCUGUGGCAAUCUGAUGAGUAAUUUAGAAGCUUCAAGUGAUUGACAAACCUUGUUGUAUUCUUAUUUUAUAUAUUUAUAUGAAUAAUGGCAUACAUGAAGAUAUUAUAUAUUAACCUUAUCUUAAAGCUUUAAUUAUUGUAAAUACAAAACACAUACAAAAAAGUAUCAAUGACACACACAAAGUUCAAUGAGUUAUUAUCAACACAUGCAUGUGUAAUCCGCACUGUGUCAAAAGUUAGAAUGCUCCCAGAAACCCUGUCUCCAGCAAAUCUGUUCCCAAUCACAGCACCAUUCCUUCUUCCAAAGAUCACUACGCUUCUGACUUUUGAGAAAAUUAUUUAUUUGCUCUCUUAAUACAUUGACCACCUACAUACGCAUCCUUAAACAUGGCAGUUGAGUCUUGCCUUCUUUUGAACUUUAUGUAAA